UUUCCAUCAAUAAAGAUUUGAUUUUUGUUGUUCCCUUUUGGAAAUCAAGAAACUUUUUUCAUAGUCCUAGCUACUAGCAAGAAGCUCAAAAAGGUCUUCUUUCCCAUGGAUUCACAAAGGAAAGAACACAGUCUCCCUAAGGCUUCUACCAUAGUUUCUGCUGCAGAGGCUUCUCCACGUGUAUACACUUCAAUAUUGCAGAGCGAACAAGAACUACUUGUUGAAGAAG
Molecule: unclassified non-coding RNA, 229 nt
Filed under: Hevea brasiliensis (rubber tree)
Lineage: Eukaryota; Viridiplantae; Streptophyta; Magnoliopsida; Malpighiales; Euphorbiaceae
Source: RNAcentral